Marmota monax (woodchuck) is the source of this 381-nucleotide long non-coding RNA. RefSeq lists it as uncharacterized. The record is from RefSeq and is a predicted model, not a curated record. Lineage: Eukaryota; Metazoa; Chordata; Mammalia; Rodentia; Sciuridae. The transcript has 2 exons.
GAGUCGCUUACACCAGUAUGGAGCUGAAGGCGGGGCAGGCGAAAGCGUGGUGGUGCCCUGGGAAUUGGGGUGCCAGAUAGGUGUAGAAGAUCUCCUGGGAGACCGAGGAGCCAAGGCAGCGCUCCACAGGAGGAGGAGAAUUACCAUGAGGAAAGCCAGUCAGAAGACAAAACCUGAUGGAAGUUUUGGAGGAAGACAGAACUAAGAAAACAUUACACAAAAAUUGAACUAGAGAGUCCAUUCUGUGGGGCUCGGGAUGUGGCUCAAGUGGUAGCAUGCUCGCCUGGCAUGCGUGAGGCACUGGGUUCCAUCCUCAGCACCACAUAAAAAUAAAAUAAAGAUAUUGUGUCCAUCUAAAAAUAAAAAAGAGUCCAUUCUGAA